GUACGAAUGAUUUGUGGCUUUUGUCUUUUCCUUUUGUGCUUUCACAGUUUCACGUGUUCAAUGGCGUGAUCGGUCAUUUUUUUUAUUCCCGCUGCUUUUUAAUUCACAGAUAACAGGGGAUUUCAUUUUUUUCGCAGGUGCCGGCUGUACGUUUCGUCUUUCGUCACGUGCAGAACUACUUCAGAACAGUACAAUAGUUGUAUAGGCUUAAGGGGUCUGAUAUAAUAAUAAGGUGUUCCUCUUGCAAUCUUGCUACCUGUACGGCUGUACCAUGAAGGAUUCCUCCUUCAUAACUGUACCAGUUAUGGCUUUCAAUUUCAUCAGUUGCAGAAACAUAAUAAACGUGGUGAAGUCUGAGCUGCAUUGCAGCAUGUGCAUGUGAUCUCCACCAUGUCAUGAAGAUUCAUCUUGGGAGCUCUAUUUCCAAGAAAAUAAUGUGAUGAAAAUAAGAAAUCCAAAAUGGUAAUAAUGUACUUGUAAGCUGGUAAAUGGUGUGGUGAGUUGUUGCAUGAAGACCAUGGUACUGGUUGUGAUGAGCUGCUGAAUGCAGUCUUGCUGCAUUUUGUUUGUGGUGCUGUUUUAAAUUUGGAAGAAUUUGAAGUUUCCAUGGUCAGUUUGAGCUGUUUGUGAUGUUGCUCUUUGGUGUGCAGUGGUUUGGCAGUCCUUUUUCAGUUGAGAGAUGCGCCGAAAUGGAACUUGUGUAAACGUGAAGUUCAACAUCAUACUUCAAUGUUCAAUGUGUUGUUUGCCGAUGUUGGUGUCCAUGCAAUGGUGAACUGUUUAGAUAUGUCGUCUAUUGCUACGUGUACCGGCGUUGAGUUGGAUCGUCUGCCACCGUUCCAUAAGCAAAACCCAUUGAUGAAAAUGAAAAAUUUUUGAAUUUCAAGACUGAUUCAUAUAUAUGUAGAUUUAGAUAAAUUACGAGUGCCUCUUUGUUAUCCCUUAUAGAGGUCCCGUUUCCUUUGUAUACAGUAUCUAAUCUCUUUCCCCCCUCCCGAUGGUAAAUAUUCCGCUUUAAUAACCGCGAUGAUCUGAGGAAAACUUUCUGUAGAUGACUUGAUUUUUUCAUUUUAAAAAAGGACAUUUGUGAUAAGAAUUUAUUCAAUAAGUAAAAACAAGUAAUACUACUAUGUCAAUUAAUAUGUUAGCAACGAAAUACAAACACCAAUUAAAAAUAAUCA
RNAcentral lists this long non-coding RNA (1181 nucleotides) under Daphnia pulicaria. Its description in RNAcentral is "uncharacterized LOC124350845, transcript variant X1". The record is from RNAcentral. Lineage: Eukaryota; Metazoa; Arthropoda; Branchiopoda; Diplostraca; Daphniidae.